RNAcentral lists this ribosomal RNA (253 nucleotides) under uncultured bacterium. Its description in RNAcentral is "partial 16S ribosomal RNA". It matches the Rfam family "Bacterial small subunit ribosomal RNA", at positions 524 to 776 of the family's 1533-position model. The record is from RNAcentral.
UACGAAGGGGGCUAGCGUUGCUCGGAAUCACUGGGCGUAAAGCGCACGUAGGCGGCUUUUUAAGUCAGGGGUGAAAUCCUGGAGCUCAACUCCAGAACUGCCUUUGAUACUGAGAAGCUUGAGUCCGGGAGAGGUGAGUGGAACUGCGAGUGUAGAGGUGAAAUUCGUAGAUAUUCGCAAGAACACCGGUGGCGAAGGCGGCUCACUGGCCCGGUACUGACGCUGAGGUGCGAAAGCGUGGGGAGCAAACAGG